UAUUCAUGGACAUCGAGGAAU
Non-coding RNA from Caenorhabditis elegans, 21 nucleotides. The record is from Ensembl. Lineage: Eukaryota; Metazoa; Nematoda; Chromadorea; Rhabditida; Rhabditidae.